Molecule: long non-coding RNA, 715 nt
Organism: Megalobrama amblycephala (Wuchang bream)
Lineage: Eukaryota; Metazoa; Chordata; Actinopteri; Cypriniformes; Xenocyprididae
Exons: 6
Source: RefSeq, a predicted model, not a curated record
UCUAUUAACACAGAGAAGUAGCUCCGGCUACAAUGUUCUUCCGCAAGAUGCAUGCCGUUCUGUUUAACCAUUAGAGCUCCAAAAGUUACGGACUUGUUUAUAUAUUAUAUGUUGUGUUUGUGAAUGAAGGAGAUUUAUUGGAUGGGGUACGCGCGAGACAAAUUCUAAAUUUUAAACGAGCAAGUCAAACGGACUUUCGGAGAAUCUGAGUACUGCGCAUGCGCAUCAUUUUGUUCUAUAAUAACGGUCGACUUCCAGCAGACGGACACGGAGUAAAAGCAGCUGGAGGAGAGACAGCCUGUGCAGCAACAACAAGACAACAAUGAUUAUAAGCAGGGAUAAUCUCCAGGGGGACUGCACUGGUCCAGGAUCAAAAGAUCAUUCAUCAUGCAGACCAUGUUCCAGGAGAAGCAGUGUAUCCUGGGUCUGCUUGAUCAUUUUGUUGUCCUGGAUGUGAGAACAUGGUCAAAAGGUGUGUCAAUCAGCAUCCAGCCAUAAAAGCAGCCUUCUCGUUAAAAGGCUCAGGAGGACAAACAGCUGCCAGAGGAGGAUGAUGAUGGCAGUGGUGACCGAGGUGACUGUGCAGCUCAGGAUGAAGAAGAGGAGGAACAUCUUCCAGUUUGCCAAAAUCCAAAGUGAAUAUAUAGAUACCAUCCUCCUAUAUCCUUGCCUCAGAAGAACCUGAGAAAGACACUCUUCCUCUUCUCUCACAGCU